This 494-nucleotide ribosomal RNA is filed under the name uncultured bacterium. RNAcentral's name for it is "partial 16S ribosomal RNA". It matches the Rfam family "Bacterial small subunit ribosomal RNA", at positions 28 to 507 of the family's 1533-position model. The record is from RNAcentral.
GACGAACGCUGGCGGCGUGCUUAACACAUGCAAGUCGAACGGUGAAGCGCCUUCCUUUUUGGUGGGUGUGGAUGAGUGGCGAACGGGUGAGUAACACGUGAGUAACCUGCCCCCUUCUUCUGGAUAACCGCAUGAAAGUGUGGCUAAUACGGGAUAUUCUGGGUCUGUCGCAUGAUGGGUCUGGGAAAGAUAUUGUUUCGGUGGGGGAUGGGCUCGCGGCCUAUCAGCUUGUUGGUGGGGUGAUGGCCUACCAAGGCGGUGACGGGUAGCCGGCCUGAGAGGGUGGCCGGUCACACUGUGACUGAGACACCGCCCAGACUCCUACGGGAGGCAGCAGUGGGGAAUAUUGCACAAUGGGCGCAAGCCUGAUGCAGCGACGCCGCGUGAGGGAUGGAGGCCUUCGGGUUGUGAACCUCUUUCGCCAGUGAAGCAGGCCUGCCUCGUUUGUGGGUGGGUUGACGGUAGCCGGAUAAGAAGCGCCGGCUAACUACGUG